This 939-nucleotide small RNA is filed under the name Pongo abelii (Sumatran orangutan). Its description in RNAcentral is "retained intron". Lineage: Eukaryota; Metazoa; Chordata; Mammalia; Primates; Hominidae. The record is from RNAcentral.
CCCUGUCCCAGGCUAGCUGGGUGACUUCCCCCAACCGCAGAGACAGCGGCGACCCGGGGCCUCAGACCUGCCCCCGCAUCCCGCCGGCGCCAGGCAGUGGGAAGUCAGGUUCUUCCGCCACCUCCCAGCCAGGACUCUUGUCACCCUCCCUCAGGAUGCCUGAGGGCCCUGAGCUGCACCUGGCCAGCCAGUUUGUGAACGAGGCCUGCAGGGCGCUGGUGUUCGGCGGCUGCGUGGAGAAGUCCUCUGUCAGCCGCAACCCUGAGGUGCCCUUUGAGAGCAGUGCCUACCGCAUCUCAGCUUCAGCCCGCGGCAAGGAGCUGCGCCUGAUACUGAGCCCUCUGCCUGGGGCCCAGCCCCCCCAGGAGCCGCUGGCCCUGGUCUUCCGCUUCGGCAUGUCCGGCUCUUUUCAGCUGGUACCUCGCGAGGAGCUGCCACGCCAUGCCCACCUGCGCUUUUACACGGCCCCGCCUGGCCUCCGGCUCGCCCUGUGUUUCGUGGACAUCCGCCGGUUCGGCCGCUGGGACCUUGGGGGAAAGUGGCAGCCGGGCCGCGGGCCCUGUGUCUUGCAGGAGUACCAGCAGUUCAGGUAGGGCCAGCACCAGGUGUGAUGAACAUAGUCGCGGGCUCCACACCUGGCUCUGUUAGUGCCUUCUUGGCCAACAAGGGACGAGUCCCUGCCCCUUCUGGGCCUCAGUUCCCUCAUCUGCAGAUCAAGACAGUAUCCCUCUCCUGGGUCAGCUCCCUGAGCCAAUGGACAUGGAAACUCAAAACUAAUUGGGGGCCAGGUGUGGUGGCUCACGUCUGUAAUCCCAGCACUUUGGGAAGCCGAGGCGGGCAGAUCAUGAGGUCAGGAGUUCGAGACCAGCCUGGCCAGCAUGGUGAAACCCUGUCUCUACUGAAAAUACAAAAAUUAGCCGGGCAUGGUGGCACAUGCCU